CGUGCAACUUGCACAGCAAAGAGAGGUUGCAAAGUUUACAGCUUUCCCUACUUCUUCUGCAUCGUUUUUUCCCCGUGUCUGUCCUCUCACUCUCCCUUUCCAAGCUCCUUCCAUCCCGUGUUACCAUGGAGAAUGAAAUGCCAGUCCCAUUCAAGUUGUCGGCUGAAUAGGUUUUGAGGUUGAUGGAUGGUGAGAAUCUCUUAUCCCUCCUUCUCCAAACACCGCCCCUGCCUGGUUCUUGACAUUUCACUUGCCAGAGACUGGCAGUCCGGGAGAGAGGACUGAAAAGGAGGCUGGCAGUGUCCUGCUGCGAUGCUCUUUCAGCUCCUUGGAUGAAAUCAGCAGCUGUGAGAAGGUCUUAAGGACUUCGGUGCAGAGCCUUGUCCUCAAGCUGGCUGAGGCAUGAAUGCUCACUUGAGUGCGUGCUCCUGCUUCCCCAGAGCUCCCAGGGAAAGUAAAUUCAAACGCGACUCUUGCUGCUGCUUGUGGCUCUGAUUUUUGAGGGGUGAUGUGACCUCUGCAACUUAAAGGGAAAGGUUGGUGCUGUUUUCACUCAGUCUGCAUCUGAUAUAACACAGCUCUUCUUAGACUGUGCAUACGCUUGUUGAGAGAAUAAGGAACAGAAGAACUCUGCCAGGAUGUAGGUUAGUUUUCUCUUUUACCAUUCACCAGCAUCACUUCUGAAUUCAGCCUGUGAACUCUUGGGGCAGGUCCAUGCGUUUCAGUAGUCCUCUGUCAAACACCAUGUUCUGGAUUCUGUAUUAAUAUGCCUAUCAAAGAUUUAAGCAAACUGCAAUUUAUCCUCUUCCCAGUUCCAAACUUGAGUAAAUGUUUUCAAAAACAAGGUACCCUUCCUCUCCAAAUGUAGUGAGGGACUUACUUUUGAAAAGCUGGCACAGAUCCCCUAAAUUCUGGAAGAUAAUGGAGGCAUCUAGGCUGAGUCUGUUCCCUGUCCUAACCCUUCCUGCAUGUUAGAGGAAGUUCCAAUAUCUGUUUGCCAGUAUGCUUGAUCCUCCCAGAGCUGCAUGAUCUAUUAGUAGUAUUUUUGUGCUCUGUUUCCACAGCAACCGCACACUUUCCCCUCCCCCCCAAAGGUGGCUGUUGCUUUGAGAAUUAGACCUGUGGAAAAGCUUGGCCUUCCUGUUACUGUGCUGGCAUAGGUCAUGAGAGGGGUGGGGAGAAUGUGACCAUCACUGAAGCUGCUGUGGUUAUGGAGUGACAGGGGAACAAAUGAGUCCUACUUAAUUGUGGGUUCAGUGUUACUAAAAUAAUUGUGUUGAAAAUGUUGGCUCAUUCUGAGCUCCGUGAAUGAAAGUCUUGGAAUUGUGACAUUAGCAGUGAUCAUUUUAGCUCUUUGCACAUACUCUUGUAAUCAUGCAGGACCCAUGUCCUCUUCAUGCAUGUGCUCAUGCACAGUACAAAACCAGAUGUACAUUCUUCUGUGUAGCUGCUCAUAGGCACUUCUUGUGUGCAUGUUACAUUAAGAAGCCUAGUCUUCUGUCAAAGUGUUCAUUGUAGUAUUGUAGGGAAGGGAAUUGCUGUGUUUAAUUGCUCCACUGAAAUAGGAAAUAAACAUUAUGCUACCUCUUUUCUUAUGUUAAUAAAGCAUGACACCUCCUGUGGUAGCAAGACUCUUUCAGACUCAAGUAUACAUGCUAGUCUGAACAUUUUCUGCUGCGUGGAAGACUAACAAGGUUUCAAUUUAUAAAGUAUUUCCAUAGGUCAGUUAUUUGCCCUUUUUUGUUAUUGUUUAAAAGGAGUGAGAACAGAAACAUUAUAUGACUGCAUACCAUACAAGUUGAGUAUAUAAUUAAUAUUGGAUUCUGGAAUUUCCCUUCCUUUAGAAGUGAAUAACUAAAGCAGUAUCUUGUCAUUCUUAGGCUUUUACAGGAAAGGCUUCUGUUUGAUAUACAGUGUGGUGGCUGUCUACCAUUAGUGUUUUGGUUCCUAGUAGUUAGGAUGCCAGUUUUGUUUCCCUCAGAAAGAAUUGUAGGUUGAAGUGUUGAUGACCAAAAUCCAUUUCUAGUGGUUGAGGCCACAUGAUCUGGGGUUAUCAUGGAAAGGCACAAUGUUUAUAGCCAUUUUCACGGUGAUAAGGCCAGAAAUUUACCAAAUCUUAUCCAUUUAAAAUGUAAAAAACUGUUCAGUGUUGAACACGCAUGUCACAAAUGUCACGUAUUUACAAAGACAGAAAUUAAACUAUCAUGUAUUAAUUUCUAGUUAUAAACACAUCUAGGUACACGUUUCUUGUUAAAGAUCUCAUAGUUUGAAAAUGAAGACCAUUUCAGUACUGAACCUUUUAAAAAUGAUGACAAGUCUUGCAUCACUUGAUUUUAGACCUGUUUCUGGUUAUAUAUGGCUCUUUCUGACAGCACACUGAAGAAACCGCACAUUUUACUUUACUUGAGAACUUGUUUAUUAAAAGACCAGGGUAUAAAGUUCCACAACUGUUUAACAUUCAGUAAUUUACCAUUAAGCUGCUUGACACAAGUUAAAAUUUAUGUUAAUAGUGUCUUGAUUAAACGGCACUCAUUAUCACUCACUGAGAUAUGGCCGAAUCAGUUUCCUAACAGAUGUCUCAAUAAAGGAGCCAUCCUACUAUAGCAUGUCCAAAUUAAGUUGAAUGUGUUGCAUUAAUGUUUUUCACUUAUAUAGCAUCUUUCAUUUCAGAGCACUUCACACAACCAUGAUUGAUAUUGGGAAAACAGAUUAGGUUAAUAUUAUGACCAAAGCAAAUGUAUAGGUUUAAAGAGCUACAGGACAUUUUGUAACUUCAACAGUUGUCUUGCAAUACAGUUUUUAAUGCUUGAUACAGUAUAGUUAUGUACUUCCUUCCAUGGAACUCUGUUAAUGUAGCUUGCAGAAGGUCUGAGUUAACCCUCGAAGGGUUGGAACAGGUGCCUCUGGAGAUGCAAAAUAUUUCAAACCUCAGCUUUGAACUAUUUUUAAGUAAUCUUUUCCAGCCAGUCCUACACUCUUCAGGGCUCUUCAUGCCUUUCAUCUUUCAUUUUCUGUUAAAAUUGUUUUAUCAACAUAGGAAAUAGUUGUGAUUUCCCAUCUCUCCCUUAAAUUACUCUUUUGUGCCUACUUGCAACGUCACUUAAAACUCCUGUCAUAUAGACUGUGCCAAAGUAACUGGUGAUUCAAGUACAGAACAUAGCUUUUUCCAUAUGCAGAGUUAGGAUCGCAACGAGGAAUAAAAACAUUCCUCCUUACGUCCUCACCAUUUGCUUUUAUAUAUUUUACAUAUGUAGAAAAAGCUAAUCCCACUCAUAUUGUGCAUAUGCAAAUCUAAAGAUUUUUUUCUGUAUUCAGUUUCUGUGCCUGUAAUGCAUUUUUCCAGCUUCCAUUUUACAGCCUCUACAGCCUUGGAAAUUGUGUUAUAGUUGUAAUAUAGUGCAAAGCAAAUAAAAAAAACUCUAAACAAGUCACUGCCUAAUUUUUUCUGCUAAAGAAUUAGACUAAUCACAUUUUACAUUUACUUAAUGGUUACAUUUAUUGAUCGUAUUUUACAGAUUGUGUAACUGAGAGCAGACCCUGAAGGCAAUUUGCCCAAGAUCCCAGUAUUUCCUGUAAUUCUGGUUGUGUUUUCCUGAUUUGAUUUGGAAUAUCCAAUUAAGAAUGAUAUGUAAUUUCAUAGAUGUGUGAUGUAUCAAGUUUGUGGCUCAUCUGAUAACAUUCAGGCUCACCAUUUCCCUCUGCUGCAUGCACCUGGCUGGAUUUUCUCGUAACUGCAACUCAUUUUAUUGUCAAAUUUUCCCAAACUUAAUCUGAAGUGAGUCAUGUAUUAAGGUCAAUGGCCAUGUCGUAUUACGAGAUGAAUAGUUCAGUUGGAUCUCAGCCAUUCUUGAAAGAGAUGAGUACUUUUUCCAAGUUUUAAAACUAUUUCUUGCAUUUUUGAGCCUUUAUAUAAUUCAAAGACGGGGAGGGAAGGGAAUUUUUUUAUAUGAAGGAUGUAAUAUUUCAUUGCCGAAGGCAAAUGUUAGAGAAGCUGAGGAGCAAUGGGGAGCAGGCCGUGCGGAGGGCAUGGUUUUGUAAUGAUGUCAAUCGCUGUGCAUGUAGUGUGCAGUGCAGGAAGGGCUGUUUGUUUGUCUGUUGGUUUUCAGAGAACUGCUAGUCCUAGGCCCAGCUGGAUACAGCCAUAACAUAGCAGGCAGUAAGCUACGUAUGCGAAUCUCCUUCAUAGCGCUUUGCAAUGAAGGGAGGUUGCUUGUUCCUUUCUCAAAGCCUACAUUCUGCUGUUUGGGCUGUGAGAUGAGUGGAGGAGGGGGACUGUGGCCGUGACAGCUUCUGCCUCCUUUGGCAGUGCUUGUUGGGGUCAGCUGGGUAAGCUGGCAGACUUACCAGGGUCUUCAGAGCGUUCCCCUCCUGACCCCUCUGACUCCUCAGUCCCUGCAGUCUGUCGGUGGCACUGCCCGUGGGGAGCUGCUAGCUGUGAGAGAGCUUUGGGCUUGAUUUACUGCUGGUGCUAUAACGUUUAAUGGAAGUGAAAGAUACGGCAAGUGAGAACUGGUGAGAGAAUCAUAGAAGCCUUUCUGAGGCAUUAAUGGUCCUCCUAGUGGAGUCCUCUUACAUUAUUCAUGCCCUUUGAGCCAAGCUGAGCACUCUUCACUCCUAUAGUAGAAGGUAAAAGGAAAUUAACCCUGUGGUGAUAUAUUGAAAGUUUCUUGUCAAAGUAAUAAUUUUGACAGUGUGUUGAGGGAAUGGAAGCAUAUCUGAAAGGGGAAAAAACUGAUUUCAACUCUGAACUGAUGUAAGAGUGCUCAAGAGUACUCUGCAGAGAAGAAAUACAAAGAGCACUUGAACUUACAUACAAGGUCCUGAGGUCCCUCUGUAGCUUUCCCAUCCUCAUCAAGUAUGUCUUCCAAGUAUCAAAAGGUAUACCUUGUAGCUGCAAGAUGAGCUAGUACUCUAAGCUUUCCAGCUGAUGCUAAGAAAAACUUUGCCAUGGAAGACUUCGGCAUGUUCAGAUUGACUGUAGUAGCCAAGACUUCUCAAUGAUUUGUAGAUCAAGUAUCAGAAAUCUGUCAUUCCAGCCUGGCUGUAGUAGAUGUUGCUGUGUGUAUGACUGUUUCUUUGAACUUGUGUGCUUUUUCUUAGGCAAAGCCAUCAUGUUUAGAGUUCUUGUUUUUUCCUGUUCCCAUCGCAUCUUCUACCUCCUGUUUUUAACUUAUCCCAUUGUUAUGUACAGUUGGACUGUGUGCUCAAGGGAGCUUUUAGGAAGGGCUCAGAAACAGGAGGCUUUUAAUGCAAUGGAUCUAUAUAGGUAAUUGAUCUGGGAUAUUUGUGCUGAGGAGGUUUCCUAUAUCCAGCUUUUACUCUCUGUCCAUUCCUCAGCUCCUCUGAGGUUUGACAGCAAGUAUCCAGAAUGUCAAACAGAUUAUGGCAAACUAGCAGAGAAUGACCUCACUCAGCAGCUAAGAGCAACUUUGGGAAGGGAGCAGAGAAGGUGACUGUAAAUAGUGUUCUUUGCUGGUGCACAAACUUUGAUUUACUGUAUGUACCUUUUGUAGGUAGGACUAAAAUAUGUUACUUCGGAGGCAGGAGAAGAGAACUCACAGUGGAAAAAUCAGUAUCCAUGCCAAGCACUGACUGACUUCUCAGCACAGAACACAGGUGCCCAGUGCAUUCACAGGCUUAUUCCUCCUUUUUCCUUUUCCUCUUACAGAAAAUCACGCUCAGGGAUGAUAUGUUAAAAGUUAUUUGUUAUCUAGAAGCCUAAGCUCUGUGACUUUUAGGUAAAAAAGCAUUCUGCAAAUUUAACUCUGGAAAGUUUGUGUUUUAUGGGCUGGAGGGAGUUGCUUUGUUUGUAUCAAGAAUUUAUUCGUGCCAAGAAUUUGAUGCGUUUGCCACCUGACAUAAAUCUUAAUGAUAAUUUGGUUAAAAGACUGUGCUUGGAAUGAAGAGGCUCAGUGCACAGUGUAUCUCUCUAGACUCUGGCUUUCAGGAGAAAUUAAAGGUGUUCGGGCAACAGUAAUAAAAACAAAAAGAAAAAUGAUGCACAAAACAUGGUGAUUAUUAGUGCUAAAGUGGGUAUCAUAACCUCCUCCUUAAAGGGCUCUUUAAGAUAGAGUGAAAGAAAACAAUAGCUGUGAAGACUUGUGAAGGUUGUUCUUCCAGGACUGUGCUCUUGAUUGUGCAGCCUCAUAGCUGCAUGAAAAAUGAGCUGUUGCUGUUUUACCCAUUCAAGGCUGCUGAGCAUUUCUUUUUGCUGGCAGAUACAGCUGCUGGAUACUGUUGAAAUCCAAAUGUUACUAAUGGAAGCUUUUGGGUGAUGCUGAGAAACUGUAUUGAAAGUUUUGUUUUAUUUUUGAAGUAUGCUAAACAUUUAAUAGUUAAGCAGCUACACUCUUUGGCAUUGUUCAUUUAGGACAUAUCCUUACAACCACUGCUGCCAUAGCAGAUGUUUUUUUUAACAUGGUGUUGUUGCUACAGUGUCAGUCAGUACCUGUGAUCUGUAACAAUUGCAACGAAAAAGAUGCCAGAAGAUCCAAAAAGUCUCUGUGGAAAGGCAUUGGCAGUCUAUGUUUUUCCACUGCCUGCUUGUAGCCUUAUGAGACAGGGCUUUUUGUAGUAUAUCUGCUCUUGGUUAAUUUUGUGAAUGAUCUCUGUAUUGCUUUAUGGGGAACUUCUGUCCUUCUGUAGGUAAUACUUGCAAAUUCCAUAUAUGCUGCCAGUUUAAAGAAAUCCUGGUUACAGCCUCUUUAAAAUGACACAAUGUGGUGCAGUCAGGCAGGAGCUCCGUGCCCGCCCCCAGCACAGUCAGCAGUGGUGGGGUCCCCGUUCACCUCCACAC
Molecule: long non-coding RNA, 6796 nt
Organism: Gallus gallus (chicken)
Lineage: Eukaryota; Metazoa; Chordata; Aves; Galliformes; Phasianidae
Source: Ensembl